Molecule: long non-coding RNA, 1900 nt
Organism: Camelus dromedarius (Arabian camel)
Lineage: Eukaryota; Metazoa; Chordata; Mammalia; Artiodactyla; Camelidae
Exons: 11
Source: RefSeq, a predicted model, not a curated record
GAGCCGGUUGGCCGGCAGAGGGCGGAGGCGUGGCAGGCCUCGAGAGCGCGCCCGUCUCUCCGUCUUCUAGUGCGGCGCCGCCCUUGCCGCCGUUCGCACCCCGGCCGCUGAGAGGACGUCAGCUCGGGUUCGGCCAAUGGCUGGCGCCCACGUCGAGGGAACGCUUCGUGACCGCGCGUCAGUGGAGAAAAAGUUGGAAAGAGACAUUCUUCAGUUUGACUGCUGAAAUGAAGGAAGGAAGGCUGCAGUUUCUUAUUGCCUCCUUAUCAUCAUGAGGAAAAAGCCAGCCCAAGAAUGAAGCCACAUGGGAGGGAAGCAGAGCCAAUAGGUCACAAACACAAGACCAAGCCCUGAUGACAUGAUCUGUGCUCCUUGAUCCAGCACAUGUUGGCACCUUUUGAAAGAUCCGGAAAUCCACAUGUUGAACAUGAAUCUAGGACUGCGGUUGCUGCAAAGCUGAACAUUUCAGAAGAGAGAGGAGGAAGGAGGGAUCAGAAGAGCCUGGUGAGAGGGCACUAGAGAACAUGUCCUUGCUUCACAAUUUGGUCACCAUAUAGACAUGAAUCGAGUAGAACUCCCUGAGUUUGGGAAAAGAUAAAAGCCUGUGGAAGGACAGAUGGAUGCAGCAAGGAGGUCUGUCUAAGAACCCAGUAAUUAUGUGCUGAACAAAAAUUCCAAUAUUUUAAUUUCUUCAAUCAAGUUCAACAAAAAGUCUUUGACUACCUGCAGAGUGAGGAAGACCCGCUGGGCCCUUGCUGUAGCUGGGACGUGGGACAUCAGGACGCAGCCCUUGGCCAUCAAACCUACAGGAAGCAUAGAUGCUGUACCCAACAAGGGCAUCCUUCACGUUCGUUAAAGGUGAAAGGGAUGGCGGCACGUGUUGUUAACCAGGAAAGUCCUCCUGGUGUACAGGACCAACCUGGAGGAAGAACUGACUACGGCUGGAGCUGCCCCCAUUAGGUGACCUUGGUUCAGCCACAUGAGCAGUUUGAGACUCAGUUACCACAUCUGUAAAAUGGGGACACCUCACCCACCUGCUUCACAGUGCUAAGCUUGGAUUCCUGGAUUUUAAAACUUCUAAGAAACAUCCCUGGACCCCUCAACAUUGCUCUUGGAUCACUGGACGGGUCCCAGAUCUCAGUCUUUGAGAUGAGAAAACUGGGAUUUGAAGAGGACAAAGCAUUUGCCAAGAUCUUACAGAUCACAAAUGGGACUGUGAGAUUACAAAUUCUUAAACAUGGCAAUACACCCCCCUCCCUGAUUUUCCUGAUGAGAAAACUAUGGAUCAGAAAGUUAAGUGACAUGUUCGGGACCAGCUAAGCACUAAAUUAUUAGAAGUCAGACCCAGGAAGUCAGACUCCAACCAGCACAACCUUCUCUUUGUCAUGUUGGAGGAUCCUUUUGUGCCAGAAGUAAUGGAUAGAGUGGGACAGCGGGCAAAGAUGCAGAGCUGGAGAAACUGAGAGGCUACUGGCUCCGCAUAUACAUGAAUGUGAAGCUGCCUAGAGAAAACCAAAAGAGCCGAGGGUGAGAACGAGAGUGAAACCUGGAUAUAAUGGACAAUGCAUUUAUUCACAUGGAACUCAGCACCUCCCUGCUCCACACCAAAUAAUCCAGGCAUGGUCAGGCAAGUAUGGCUACCCAGGAAAUUGGAAUGCUUUAGCCAGGACCUCGGCGGGGCCAUGAAUGCCUGUCUGUAGUACAGCAUCAGUAACAGUUCUUUCCUGUGGCAACUUGGAAAAGGUAUCAUGCCUUCUACACAGAAGAUUCUUAAUAAAUAUUUGAUAGAUUUUCAAUAAAUAUCUGAUGAAUUGAGUUGGGGCUAUAUGUCAGAGGCUAUAUGACCAGUUUUCGGCAAUGGAAAGUAGGUACCUUCAGGCUGUGCUCCCGAAUACUGCCA